This 285-nucleotide unclassified non-coding RNA is filed under the name plant metagenome. RNAcentral's name for it is "partial contains small subunit ribosomal RNA, internal transcribed spacer 1, and 5.8S ribosomal RNA". The stretch from base 1 to 54 matches the Rfam family "Eukaryotic small subunit ribosomal RNA", at positions 1778 to 1831 of the family's 1831-position model. The record is from RNAcentral.
GAAAGUAAAAGUCGUAACAAGGUUUCCGUAGGUGAACCUGCGGAAGGAUCAUUACCGAGUUAGGGUCUUCUAGGCCCGACCUCCCAACCCUUUGUUUACCAAACCUAUGUUGCUUCGGCGGGCCCGUCUUUAUUGACCGCCGGAGGACUGUCCGUUAUAGGCGUCCUCUGGCCCGUGCUCGUCGAUGGCCCAACCCCUAAAGCUCUGUAUAAAUCGUGUCAUGAUUGUCUGAGUACAGUGAUUUGAAUUAAAUAAAAACUUUCAACAACGGAUCUCUUGGUUCUG